CCAGACUCCUACGGGAGGCAGCAGCUAAGAAUAUUCCGCAAUGGACGAAAGUCUGACGGAGCGACGCCGCGUGGAUGAAGAAGGCUGAAAAGUUGUAAAAUCCUUUUGUUGAUGAAGAAUAAGGGGAAGAGGGAAUGCUUCUCUGAUGACGGUAAUCAGCGAAUAAGCCCCGGCUAAUUACGUGCCAGCAGCCGCGGUAACACGUAAGGGGCGAGCGUUGUUCGGAAUUAUUGGGCGUAAAGGGCAUGUAGGCGGCUAUGUAAGCCUGAUGUGAAAUCCUGGGGCUUAACCCUAGAAUAGCAUUGGGUACUGUGUAGCUUGAAUUACGGAAGGGAAACUGGAAUUCCAAGUGUAGGGGUGGAAUCUGUAGAUAUUUGGAAGAACACCGGUGGCGAAGGCGGGUUUCUGGCCGAUAAUUGACGCUGAGAUGCGAAAGUGUGGGGAUCGAACAGGAUUAGAUACCCUGGUAGUCCACACUGUAAACGAUGUACACUAGGUGUUGGGGCAAGAGCUUCAGUGCCAAAGCAAACGCGAUAAGUGUACCGCCUGGGGAGUAUGCCCGCAAGGGUGAAACUCAAAGGAAUUGACGGGGGCCCGCACAAG
RNAcentral lists this ribosomal RNA (603 nucleotides) under uncultured bacterium. RNAcentral's name for it is "bacterial SSU rRNA". It matches the Rfam family "Bacterial small subunit ribosomal RNA", at positions 331 to 929 of the family's 1533-position model. The record is from RNAcentral.